CUUCUUCCAAUAUACUCCACUUUCAUACAUUUUGAAUAUAUGAAAUGAUUUCUCAUUAAAGUCAUGAGAAAUAGUGGGAGGUGUGAAAAUGGAUAUAAACUUGAAUAUGAUUGGUUUAUAGUUGUCUAAAGAAUAAUAGUACUUGACUAUUAUUAAGAGUUUGCAAUUUUAAUUGUUAAAAGACUCAAGCUCUUCAAAACGUUAAAAUUCUAUGUUGUGUGACAUUCUAAAGAAUAGUCUUUGAAUGUUGGUUUCGUCAACCUAGCAUAAAAUGGUUAUAUGUUU
Molecule: long non-coding RNA, 285 nt
Filed under: Malus domestica (apple)
Lineage: Eukaryota; Viridiplantae; Streptophyta; Magnoliopsida; Rosales; Rosaceae
Description: long non-coding RNA (MDOM_LNC004572)
Source: RNAcentral